RNAcentral lists this ribosomal RNA (301 nucleotides) under uncultured bacterium. Its description in RNAcentral is "partial 16S ribosomal RNA". It matches the Rfam family "Bacterial small subunit ribosomal RNA", at positions 509 to 807 of the family's 1533-position model. The record is from RNAcentral.
CAGCCGCCGCGGGAAUACGUAGGUGGCAAGCGUUGUCCGGAAUUAUUGGGCGUAAAGGGCUCGCAGGCGGUUUCUUAAGUCUGAUGUGAAAGCCCCCGGCUCAACCGGGGAGGGUCAUUGGAAACUGGGAAACUUGAGUGCAGAAGAGGAGAGUGGAAUUCCACGUGUAGCGGUGAAAUGCGUAGAGAUGUGGGGGAACACCAGUGGCGAAGGCGACUCUCUGGUCUGUAACUGACGCUGAGGAGCGAAAGCGUGGGGAGCGAACAGGAUUAGAUACCCGCGUAGUCCCUGUCUCUUAUAC